Molecule: ribosomal RNA, 302 nt
Filed under: uncultured bacterium
Lineage: Bacteria
Description: partial 16S ribosomal RNA
Rfam family: Bacterial small subunit ribosomal RNA
Source: RNAcentral
GCAGUAGCCGCGGGAAUACGAAGGGGGCUAGCGUUGUUCGGAUUUACUGGGCGUAAAGGGCGCGUAGGCGGAUAUUUAAGUCAGGGGUGAAAUCCCAGAGCUCAACUCUGGAACUGCCUUUGAUACUGGGUAUCUUGAGUAUGGAAGAGGUGAGUGGAAUUCAGAGUGUAGAGGUGAAAUUCGUAGAUAUUCGGAGGAACACCAGUGGCGAAGGCGGCUCACUGGUCCAUUACUGACGCUGAGGUGCGAAAGCGUGGGGAGCAAACAGGAUUAGAUACCCCUGUAGUCCCUGUCUCUUAUAC